UUAAAGUAAAAGGGGUUACGACUUCCCGAACCUACUAAGCUAACUAGGAAUAAUUCUAACCUAGUUAGAUAGUGACUUAUGAGUGGGUUAAAACACUUAAAUUAUGAACUAAGGAAAAUGAAGGGGCCAAAGAUGUUAAAAUCGAAACUUAUGUUGCUAAUUUAAUUAAAAUAAAAACCAAACACCCCAUUUGGGGAUGUCUGGUCGUACAAAGAAGCAGGAGGCGAUGUGUUUCUUCAAACCCUAAAAUCCUUACUAAAACUCUCAAAUUGGAGGUGCAAAUCUGGUCCAAAACGAAAAUCGAGCAUAGAUUACUGAUCCCCAUUGCAAGGGGGUUGUAAGGUAUGUAAAAUUUGAUGUUAAUUCUCUACUUGAAAUUCUCAUGAAUUUAGGAUAUUCGAAAUUUGUUGAUGCAUGUUCGUUAUAUGAUGAAAUAGGAACAUUGUAGUGUCUAGGAGUAAACCCUAGAGAAGCAUAUGAUGAAAUUAGGUCUAAAUCUUGUGAAUUCAUGAUCACCAUUGAAGGUGAUAAGUGUGAUGAUGCUAAAUUCGUGUAAUGUGAUGUUUUUAGGGUUUUUGAUGGCUAAAAAUAGUGCUAUAAUAUCAUAAACAUGUUUCGAUUGAAAACUGAAUUCAAACAGCUUCUGAUCAGAAUUUACAGCCGAAUUGUAUUGGCUGUAACAUGGACAAAACGUGACAAAAACGUUUGUUUCUUGAGUCUAAAAUGUAAUUCCAGGAAAUAUCUUUAAAACCCCACUGGAAUCGCAUUUUUUCGACUAAAAUUGAGCGUUUUAUGAAUUUUUCCGUAUCAAAGGUUCAAGCUGCGUUUUCUGGCAGAAUUUGCAGCCCAUUACGAAUGUCAUAACUCAAUUUAGGGAUUGAGUUAUGAUCUCAAAUUCUUACUGUGGAAAGUAUUAAGUUAUUAGAAGAAUCUCCAAUUGGAAUUUCGUCAAUCGAAUAAACGAGGAAUUUUUUAAUGAAUUUUUCCGUAAGCUGCAGUCAGAAGUGACGAAUCUGAUUGCAGCUUAGUAGAUGAAUUUUUACGAAUUUUUGGUAAAGAGUUAGAUCUUGAAAUUUUAACACAAGGGCUACCCCUCCGAGAGGUACGCCACAUAAAAAAAUCAUAAUUUUUGAAGACUUGUAAACAGGUUAAACAGGUCACCAAAAACAGCCUAUUUUCAGUGAUACGAAACUUGAUUGUUGAUAUUAUAAAUUAUGCCCACAAUGUUCAUAUGUUGAAAUUAUGAAUCAAACGCGUAAUUUCCUAGUUCGACUAAUUAUGUGUGAUGUGGGGUAAUACAAAUUUUAAUUAUGAAGUCGAUUUAGCUUAUAUGCACAUAUCAUAUAAUUAAGGGUAGUUAACUUUUGAAUAGUUAAACUAACCAUGGACGGAGUCGAAUAGUAGUUUUGACAUAGAAAACACGUAAGGUGGAAUAGUCGUGGUUAUAAUGACUAAUCUAACCACCUUGUGAAUUAUGAUGAUAGUUUGACUCUUGACAAGCUAGAUGGAGGCUUGGAAUGAAGCGGGUCAAACGGAGCAAGUACGAAAAGGAAAGCGUAAUUUGGAUGCGAGGUUGUAAAUACGACAAAAGCUAUAUUUGAAAUAUGGUUCCGACACGAAAUGAAACGGGUCGGGACAUAUAAAAUAAUGAUAAACCAUGUUUAAUGGUAAAAUGGGCGAAAUGGUAAUUGGUCACGAGAUGACGUAUAUAUAAAAUGAGUUUUUGAAUGGCUACUUAUUAAGGUAAGCCUAAACGAGUAAAAAGAGUAAAACGACGAAUUAGUCGUGUGUAGACGAAAAAGAGUUGAAGUUUAAAACAACACCAUUUAAUAUUAAGCACAAAAUAUUUGGUAGUCUAGACCAAACGGGUCAAAUGGUAAUAUUUAUACCAUUUGACAAUUAACGACUAAUAAGUGUAUGUCGAGUCUCAUGCUCGCAGGGUAAUUGGUUUAUGAAUUAGCGAGGCUAUGAAUUAGCAUAUUAUAGAGACAAGGUCUUAAAACGGGUCAAUAUGUUGACCCGAGCCAGGUACGCUUAUAUAUAUAGAUGUAUAGUUAAAAGUGUUUAACUUCCCUUCACGGGUCAAAAGGAGUAGAUAGGUAAAACGGGUUAAGAAUUCAUAAGAAACCCGUAAUUUGAACCUUGCACAUUAGUAAAUUGAUAUAACGUGAUAUGCAUGAUAUUUUGAAUAUGAUUGAUUGAUCUUUGAUAUUGGUUCAUAUGUAACAUAUUAGAAUUUCGAGAAACUAAUGUAUUGGUAUGUUAGAAAGAGCGAAAUCCGAGAUUUAGGCUUGAGUAUAAUGAACAAAGCAACCAAAAGAUGGAUUUACAGGGACUACCGUAAGUUACGGUAGUACCGUAAGUUACGGUAGAGGUCAGGAGCUUACGGUGUGAGUCUACUGGUUUACGGUGGACCAUUAUUGGAAAUUGACCACCGUAACUUACGGUGAAACCGUAAGUUACGGUAGGGCCUGAAUGUUUAUAAAUUUUAUAUAAUUGUAAAUUUUCAAAUUCAUUUCGAUCGUAGUUUCGAUCAAGUAUCAUUUCUAAGCAUUCUAAUAUAAAUGUUUAUGUAAACAUUUCAGUCUUAGGUACUCAAGGAUUAUGGGUGACGAUCAAGCAACUUUUGAAGGACCGAACACAUACUCUUGAAGCUUCCGCAUAAAUCAACUCGGUUUAAACAAUGUUUAUGAUGUAAACUGUUUGCUAAACAACUUUUGAAAUGUUUAAACGACGUACUCAAUUAUGUUAUGUUGUAUUAUUUUAAAAUUGUAAAGUUUAAACAAACCCGUAUUUUUACAAAGUAUAUGUAGUCAUAAUUAUAUGUUGUUU
This 2832-nucleotide long non-coding RNA is filed under the name Helianthus annuus (common sunflower). Its description in RNAcentral is "hypothetical non coding rna". Lineage: Eukaryota; Viridiplantae; Streptophyta; Magnoliopsida; Asterales; Asteraceae. The record is from RNAcentral.